Molecule: ribosomal RNA, 492 nt
Filed under: uncultured bacterium
Lineage: Bacteria
Description: partial 16S ribosomal RNA
Rfam family: Bacterial small subunit ribosomal RNA
Source: RNAcentral
AGUGAACGCUGGCGGUAGGCCUAACACAUGCAAGUCGAACGGCAGCACAGUAAGAGCUUGCUCUUACGGGUGGCGAGUGGCGGACGGGUGAGGCAUACAUCGCCAUCUACUUUUUCGUGGGGGAUAACGUAGGGACACUUACGCUAAUACCGCAUACGACCUACGGGUGAAAGCAGUGGAUCUUCGGACCUUGCGCGAUUCUAUUAGCCGAUGCCGGAUUAGCUAGUUGGCUAGGUAAAGGCCCACCAAGGCGACGAUCCGUAGCUGGUCUGAGAGGAUGAUCAGCCACACUGGAACUGAGACACGGUCCAGACUCCUACGGGAGGCAGCAGUAGGGAAUAUUGGGCAAUGGGCGCAAGCCUGAUCCAGCAAUGCCGCGUGAGUGAAGAAGGCCUUCGGGUUGUAAAGCCCUUUUGUUGGGAAAGAAAAGCAGCGGGUUAAUACCCCGCUGUUCUGACGGUACCCAAAGAAUAAGCACCGGCUAACUUCGUG